Molecule: long non-coding RNA, 1525 nt
Filed under: Vulpes vulpes (red fox)
Lineage: Eukaryota; Metazoa; Chordata; Mammalia; Carnivora; Canidae
Description: lncRNA (ENSVVUG00000018877.1)
Source: RNAcentral
GGGCGGGGGCGCGCGGCCGGCGCGGGGCCUGCCGGGAGCUGUAGUUUCCGGGCGUGCCCGAGCGGGUGGGAGCCGCGCGGGGAUAUCGCUGUGCCUUUGCGCGGUGCAGGGCAGCUGGAGCUCAGCAGGCGCGGACGUCCCUGCGUCUCCGUGGCCGCGGGGGAGCGGGGCGCGACCGUGCGUUUAAACCAGUCACACACGGCACUUGAGCCCCGUCGUUGCCUUUUUGUCUUUUGUCGUCCGCUCUUGACGGAGGCCCCGGUGGCAAGAACCAAGAGGUGACAGCUUGAACGGGGCACCCCGAGAGCCUGUCUCCCUGCUCCCCACGUUUUCCUCCCUCGGGCCUGCCUUCCAGGUGGCCGCCUGGCACCGCGGAGCCCCGGGCAUUCCGCACCGGAGGCGAGGCGCAGACCUCCUGAGCCCUUCGUCGGAGCGGAGGGUACCGAAGUGGCUGCUCUCGGUGUUCUGUGUUUCCUGUCGUCCGUCCUUCAACUCGCAUGUGUCCCCUUCCCAUCAAAGUGAAGUGCAGUCAAGAAUCACGACCCUAGGCUGCCACGUCCAGGGAAGCAAGGGGUUGUGAGAAGGAAGAGAUGCCCCGAGUGCACCACACGUGCAGUGAAUAUUGAAGGUAGUCCACCCAGGUAUGUAUCAUGGUUCCGCCACUGAACAGCUGGGUGAACAUGGGCACAGCAACCUCAGGCAGCUUCCAUCUCAGCAUCAGUUACCUUGGAUGAUAGCACUCCUCACCCUGUGAGUUGUGUAAGAAGUAAAUGACAUAACACAUGAAAGACCGUUUUAAAAAUUCACAAGUGAAUGCUCAGUAAAUGUUAGCUAUUAUUCACAUUAAAAGAGAGCUUUUUACAGGACCACAUCUUCCGGCAGCACAGAGAAAGAAAAGUUAAUAAGCUUGAGUCUGUGAAGGGAAAUUUAAGAUAAUAGUGACAUGUUUAAAUGACACAGGAAUCCCUAUGGCCAUAGAAUGAAUUCUUUCUUACUUCGUCAAAGGAAGAUCCUAUGGCACAGGUACUUGGUUAACCAGAAGCCAUCACUGUGACAGUCUACACUGACAGUUUUACGUGUUCCCGUGCAGGAUAAAAAUCACUAAAUGGUUUUACAAUUGUUGGGUUUGCUUUUAAUAGUUAACCAGACUAUACUGAGCUGAAUAUUUUACUAUAAUUGGUUCCCUGAUCAUAUAUCUCAAAUUUCCAAAUCUUAAGUAUCUCCAGAAAGAAUUCUGAUUAACCCUGGACUUUGAACUGUCUCAUCACUCCUUAAGUGAUGAUGGAGUGUGCAGGUGAAAGCUAAUUGAGGUGAAUUUGGCUUGCCUUUUUUCCCUAGAUUGCCCUUAAAACUUUCCAGUCCCAGGUAUACUGAUUCGAUAAACACUUUUGAGAGGCUAUGUGCAUGGCAUUUGAUGGGAUCUAUAAGUGAAACAAUUGCUAUUCUUGGGGACUAGUGUUUAUUAAAUGAGGUAUGUAAAGAUCUGUCAUAUGGAGAAAAGAAUAAAAAAGGUACAUAGGAGGCA